AACAGGCUUGUACUAGCUAAGUGAACCACGCUAAUGCAAUACAUGUAACAAAACCUGAAAGGCCAACCGUGAAACCAUUAGCUAACUCCCCUAGAAAAAUCCAACGUAUAAGACAUUAUUUAAGUGCCAACUGGCUAAAGUACAAAUCUACCUUCAUAUUCAAUUGCCCCUUCCAAAAUUAGAUACGAGCUAGUGUGUAUAUAUACAAUGACUCUGAUUACCAUUUAAGCACUACAUAAAGGUUGAUACCAGUGAAUAAGACUCAUCACUAGCUAGCAGCUGUUUCUCUUCCCAAAUGCCAAAGUCAGAGACACAACAAGAGACUCCACCUGCAGGAUACCCAAAUGGGAAUCCCCCCAAAGGAAAUAAAUGCUGCACUCGGGGUAGCAAGAAGAAAGGAGACAGAGGCUUCAUAGAGGGAUGCCUUUUCGCUCUCUGCUGCUGUUGGCUCUGUGAAGAAUGCUUCUAAUUGACGCUUCUUGUUGUAAAAGAGGAUUUCAAUCAAGCAAAGCUAUUAUGUCAGCUUACCAGUGUUGAUCUGUCUUUUGUUUUUCGUUGGUUUUCUGACUAUUUUUCUCUAUGAUUAUAUAUUAUAAUAACUUUUUUUUUUAUAGGUAAUUAUAUAUUAUAAUAACAUGUGAGUUGAGACCUACAUAUGAUCCUACAUCAGCUACUUGAUGUUGAUUGCAGAAACAUAUUUCUCUACUCUCAUCACUCCCUUUUCUUCCUUCAUUCUUUCAUAUUAGUAAGUUUCCCGUGCAUAAUGUUGUAACGUUUUAUGUAAGAUGGGUGCAUAAUGUUGUAAUAUUUUAUGUAAGAUGGUAUAGUGUUAUAAUGUUUUAUGUAAGAUGGUCUUGAAGAAUGUUUUACAUAUAUUAUAGCAUAAUUGUUAUACAA
Quercus robur (English oak) is the source of this 897-nucleotide long non-coding RNA. RefSeq lists it as uncharacterized. NCBI's taxonomy places the organism in Eukaryota, Viridiplantae, Streptophyta, Magnoliopsida, Fagales, Fagaceae. The record is from RefSeq and is a predicted model, not a curated record. The transcript has 3 exons.